This is a long non-coding RNA of Sinocyclocheilus grahami, 667 nucleotides long. RefSeq lists it as uncharacterized. The transcript has 3 exons. Lineage: Eukaryota; Metazoa; Chordata; Actinopteri; Cypriniformes; Cyprinidae. The record is from RefSeq and is a predicted model, not a curated record.
GGUUUUAAUAUCGCAGUUAUCAUUCCGCAGGUAAACGGGGUGCGUUUCAUCACCAUCACCAAAGGACAGGUUCUGAUCAUUUGGAAGGAUCACUGCAUCGCAACAAAGUGUAUAAAGACAUACAAAGUGGAAUUUUCCAAAGAUGAGACGACUUUCCAGAGGAUUAAUCAGAGAGAGACUAUUUUCACAUACUUCACUUAUUCUCCAGAGAGUCUGGAGGUGAGCGGAUACUAUAGAGUAAGAGCCGUGGAUUACUGGGGAAGAAAUGGAGAAUAUUCUGUCACUGAGAAAUAUUCGGAGAACCGGUAUUCUUGAUUAGACCGACUUAUGACUUUCCACAUACAAUAUAGUUCACUUUGUAUCUUAUUUUGAUAUUAAAAAAAAGCUCACUAGGACAGCAUGACAUUGGUUUGACCAACAUGUAAAUUGUCCGAACAGAGUUAAUUUUUUUUUUUUUUAUAUAUGUAAUUUCGGACUGGUUAUCUGAUGCCGCAAUAAUUUACCUUAAACACAACUAUUUUAAGUCUACGCAGCCUAUGUUUGCCAUAAUUGUAUUCAACAUGCAUACAAGACCAUCCAUGGGUAUAUCGGAGAUAAAAAUAGAUUGAAUGGACUGGAUGAUGAAUUUGAACAACAACUACUAAGUUUUAUUUACAGUAUUUCCAUA